CCUACGGGAGGCAGCAGUGGGGAAUAUUGGGCAAUGGAGGAAACUCUGACCCAGCAACGCCGCGUGAAUGAUGAAGGUCUUCGGAUUGUAAAGUUCUUUUCUAAGGGAAGAAGAAAGUGACGGUACCUUAGGAAUAAGCCUCGGCUAACUACGUGCCAGCAGCCGCGGUAAUACGUAGGAGGCAAGCGUUAUCCGGAAUGACUGGGCGUAAAGGGUGCGUAGGUGGUUUGACAAGUUGGUAGCGUAACUCCGGGGCUCAACCUCGGCACUACUACCAAAACUGUCGGACUUGAGUGCAGGAGGGGCAAAUGGAAUUCCUAGUGUAGCGGUGGAAUGCGUAGAUAUUAGGAGGAACACCGAUUGCGAAGGCAGCAUACCGGCGCCCAACUGACGCUGAAGCACGAAAGCGUGGGUAUCGAACAGGAUUAGAUACCCUAGUAGUC
This 443-nucleotide ribosomal RNA is filed under the name uncultured bacterium. RNAcentral describes it as "partial 16S ribosomal RNA". It matches the Rfam family "Bacterial small subunit ribosomal RNA", at positions 338 to 795 of the family's 1533-position model. The record is from RNAcentral.